RNAcentral lists this ribosomal RNA (1413 nucleotides) under Limosilactobacillus reuteri. Its description in RNAcentral is "bacterial SSU rRNA". It matches the Rfam family "Bacterial small subunit ribosomal RNA", at positions 30 to 1398 of the family's 1533-position model. The record is from RNAcentral. Lineage: Bacteria; Bacillati; Bacillota; Bacilli; Lactobacillales; Lactobacillaceae.
UGAACGCGGCGGUGUGCCUAAUACAUGCAAGUCGUACGCACUGGCCCAACUGAUUGAUGGUGCUUGCACCUGAUUGACGAUGGAUCACCAGUGAGUGGCGGACGGGUGAGUAACACGUAGGUAACCUGCCCCGGAGCGGGGGAUAACAUUUGGAAACAGAUGCUAAUACCGCAUAACAACAAAAGCCACAUGGCUUUUGUUUGAAAGAUGGCUUUGGCUAUCACUCUGGGAUGGACCUGCGGUGCAUUAGCUAGUUGGUAAGGUAACGGCUUACCAAGGCGAUGAUGCAUAGCCGAGUUGAGAGACUGAUCGGCCACAAUGGAACUGAGACACGGUCCAUACUCCUACGGGAGGCAGCAGUAGGGAAUCUUCCACAAUGGGCGCAAGCCUGAUGGAGCAACACCGCGUGAGUGAAGAAGGGUUUCGGCUCGUAAAGCUCUGUUGUUGGAGAAGAACGUGCGUGAGAGUAACUGUUCACGCAGUGACGGUAUCCAACCAGAAAGUCACGGCUAACUACGUGCCAGCAGCCGCGGUAAUACGUAGGUGGCAAGCGUUAUCCGGAUUUAUUGGGCGUAAAGCGAGCGCAGGCGGUUGCUUAGGUCUGAUGUGAAAGCCUUCGGCUUAACCGAAGAAGUGCAUCGGAAACCGGGCGACUUGAGUGCAGAAGAGGACAGUGGAACUCCAUGUGUAGCGGUGGAAUGCGUAGAUAUAUGGAAGAACACCAGUGGCGAAGGCGGCUGUCUGGUCUGCAACUGACGCUGAGGCUCGAAAGCAUGGGUAGCGAACAGGAUUAGAUACCCUGGUAGUCCAUGCCGUAAACGAUGAGUGCUAGGUGUUGGAGGGUUUCCGCCCUUCAGUGCCGGAGCUAACGCAUUAAGCACUCCGCCUGGGGAGUACGACCGCAAGGUUGAAACUCAAAGGAAUUGACGGGGGCCCGCACAAGCGGUGGAGCAUGUGGUUUAAUUCGAAGCUACGCGAAGAACCUUACCAGGUCUUGACAUCUUGCGCUAACCUUAGAGAUAAGGCGUUCCCUUCGGGGACGCAAUGACAGGUGGUGCAUGGUCGUCGUCAGCUCGUGUCGUGAGAUGUUGGGUUAAGUCCCGCAACGAGCGCAACCCUUGUUACUAGUUGCCAGCAUUAAGUUGGGCACUCUAGUGAGACUGCCGGUGACAAACCGGAGGAAGGUGGGGGACGACGUCAGAUCAUCAUGCCCCUUAUGACCUGGGCUACACACGUGCUACAAUGGACGGUACAACGAGUCGCAAGCUCGCGAGAGUAAGCUAAUCUCUUAAAGCCGUUCUCAGUUCGGACUGUAGGCUGCAACUCGCCUACACGAAGUCGGAAUCGCUAGUAAUCGCGGAUCAGCAUGCCGCGGGUGAAUACGUUCCCGGGGCCUUGUACACACCGCCCGUC